Molecule: ribosomal RNA, 253 nt
Filed under: uncultured bacterium
Lineage: Bacteria
Description: partial 16S ribosomal RNA
Rfam family: Bacterial small subunit ribosomal RNA
Source: RNAcentral
UACGGAGGGUGCAAGCGUUAUCCGGAUUUACUGGGUUUAAAGGGUGCGCAGGUGGAUAUGUAAGUCAGUGGUGAAAUCUCCGGGCUUAACCCGGAAAUUGCCGUUGAUACUAUAUAUCUUGAAUGUUGUGGAGGUAAGCAGAAUAUGUCAUGUAGCGGUGAAAUGCUUAGAGAUGACAUAGAAUACCUAUUGCGAAGGCAGCUUACUACGCAGAUAUUGACGCUCAUGCACGAAAGCGUGGGGAUCAAACAGG